This is a long non-coding RNA of Chelonia mydas (Green sea turtle), 7357 nucleotides long. RefSeq lists it as uncharacterized. The transcript is spliced from 3 exons. The record is from RefSeq and is a predicted model, not a curated record. Lineage: Eukaryota; Metazoa; Chordata; Testudines; Cheloniidae.
CCGCAGCUGUCGGGACCCGCGCAGUGUGGGGGGAGCGCGCGGCGAGGUCGGUCGGGGCGGCUCGCCGGGGCGUCGCGUUGUUCCCCGGUGGGACGCUGCCGUGCCCGGCCGGAGCCGCUGAGCGGGCCCGGUCCAAAGCCCCAAGGCUCCUGCUGGCCCCGGCGGGCUUAGGAGCGAGCCCCGGCCGUGCAGCGGGCUCUCCGGUGGCGGUGCAGGUCGUUCCCGGCGACGUGGGUAAUAAUGGACCGUCCCUGGUAGUGGGGCUGCGGGGAGCCCCCUGCCCUCCGCUGCACCCGAAUUGAAACGGGGGGGGGGAGCUAGCCACCUGCACACGGGGACACCCACACCAGACCCCCGAGGAGGCAGCUGCUACCAGGCCUGGGGCUGCAGGCCAGGGGACAGCGAGGGUAGUGACACGUCACCCCCCCCACCCCCCAUCCUGUGGGGUCUAGCGCAGAUUAUUAAAAAAAAAAAAAGCGAGACUGCCGCCCCAGACUCACGCAGCAAGUCGGUGACGGUCGGGCAUCGACGCCUGGGGCCAAAUUCUGACCUAAACAAUGCCAGUGUAAAUCCAGAGUAACUCCACUGGGGCUAGUCCAGCUGCACAGUGGUGUAAUGAAAAUCAGGUGUAUUGGCUCCCAGCGCCAGGUCAGUUCCCUAGGAGAACAUCCUUACCCUCCUUAUACUGGGGUAGAGGGCAGCACGAUUUAUAGUGAAGGGGAUUAUUAUAAGAAUCAGGCUGUUGCGAAGGACUGCCGUGUGCAAAAUGUACUUCCCAAUUAUUAUACCUAUCCUUUGAUUACUGUGAAACUAUUCUGAAAAAAAAAUCACUGGAACAGUUCCCACCACAUACGUUUUAAAAAUAAAAAUAAAAAAUUAUUUACAUAAAUUUCAUGAUCAUACAGGAACGUUGCAGUUCAGGGUGUUACUAGAAGGUUUUCCUUUCUUUGUAAGGAAGUCCACCCCGUGCAGGUUUGCUGUGCAAGUCAGUGGCCUGCUUUUCAGAGCACCACAGCUCCCCUUGACUUCAGCAGAAGUUACGCUUCUCAGCACUUCUGCAAAGGAGGCCCCAGAAAUAUUGUAUUCUUGGUUAAUGCUGUUGUGACCCACUGUUAUGUACAGAUGUGUUUAGAAAAUCUGUAAUGUACAUUAAAAUGCACAUUCCAGAGAUCACCCUUAUGGUAAUUCUGAUUUUUAACAUUCCCUGAAUUAGGGGUUCUGAGCCUUUUUCUUUCUGCCCCCCCCCCCCCCCAACGUGCUAUAAAAACUCCAUGGCCCACCUGUGCCACAACAACUAGUUUUCUGCAUGUAAAAGCCAGGGCUGGCAUUAGGGGGUAGCAAGCAAGGCAAUUGUGUGGGGCUGCAUGCCAUGGGAGCCCUGCGACACUAAGUUGCUCAGGCUUCUCCUUUGGCCCUAGGGGGCAGGACUUAGGGCCCUGGGCUUCGGCUUUCUACCCUGGGCUCCAGCAAGUCUAACACUGGCCCUGCUUGGUGGCCCUUCUGAAACCUGCUUGUGGCCCCCCGGGGGCCCUGGACCCCUAGUUGAGAACCACUGCCCUGAAUAAUUUCUAACCACUUGAAGUAUGCAAAAUCAGUGCCCUCUUUUGAAAAUUUUGGCCUUGGACUAUACAGGAUAUACAGGGCUUUAUCAUGGUUCUGUAAUAUGGCUAGGUCCCUUCAGCAGAAACAGACUAACACGGCUGUUACUCAGAAACAAAAUAGGGCAUUAUAGUAUAGCAACAUCCCUGUGGCUUUGCAAAUUUGGUUGUGUAGACAGAUCCUAAGUGAAAAGUUGGGGGAGCUUUCCAGGGAAGGGAAUGUGGAGGUGUGGAAAAUAAAAGCUUUGAGGAAAACAGAGAGUACCUGAUUCUGCUGUCAUUGAAGUCAGUGGGAGUUUAGCCAUUGAUUCAGGCUCUGAAGUUAUAAAUCCUGAAAUAUAAAUCUGUGGUGUUUCUGCAGGAAAAUUUCAGUGCAAACUUUGUGUGUAUGUGGAGUAGUUACAAGAUUGGGCUUAAUGUAAGGUCACUUUGGGGCUUGCCAAAGCAUGAUGGUGCCGCUGGUAAUCCUUAUGAACAGGAGUUUUAAUGACUUCAGAAAUUCCAUGUCACCUUUUUUUUUUUUUUUUUUUUUGGUAAAGGCACCAAAAGCUAUUAGACAUUGUAUGGCUUGAUCACUUGUCAGUUGAACCAGCAUUUGCCUUAUAGGUGCAAACCUCAACAAAUAGUCCAAAGAGAUACAUUUCUAUUGUCAUUUAAUUUAAAAAUGUCCAGCCCAGUUUAAUUUUUAGACAGAUAUAAGUGGGGAGGGAGGAAUCAUCCCCACAAUGAGAGUUUGUGUGCCAAGUUUUAAUCAGGAGUGAUUUUUUUCAGUGGAGAAAUAGACCUGUGAAAAUUGGGGUUUAUAAUGAAAAUGCUGAUACAUGCUUUACUAUAGUGGUGCAAACAAGGUCCCAUAAUACUCAAAUAAAUUUGUUAGUCUCUAAGGUGCCACAAGUACUCCUUUUUUGGGGGGGUAAAUCCUGUUACUGAGAGAGAAAGUCAGCUUCAAUUAUCUUCCAAGAAGGCAUAUUUUCCCAUAAUUCUUGAUAGCUAUGAUUUACUGCUUGGAAGUAGUUAAAGGGUCUUCAUUUGAGCCUGUGCUCCCUAAACAUGCUAUCAUGAAUAUUGUGCUAAAGAAAAAGCAUACAAACUAUGAAUACCACAUUAAAAACCAAAAUCUCUUGCAAAGCCAUAGAAAUCAUGGAGGAUGGAGGGAGAAUGUCUUGGAGUCAGGCAUGAUUUACUUAUUGGCAAGUUUGAACUUUUAUUUUCACACACAGAAAAUAGGAUUUUUUUCACAAUUAUUUACAAUGUGUUUUUAAAUAAUCCUUUAUACCCCUCGGAGAUGGCUAUGGUUCCAUCUACCCCUCAGGAAAAUGCCUGAUGGAAAAGGAUAUGUUAUUGAAAGAUUGGGUAGGCUUUACACUUUGCCAUCUGACAGUAGGCAUCUCCAACAAUAACUAGUCCAAUAUGAACAGGGGGAAGAAGUCUUGCAUCACAGAUAGCAAAUGAGCCUUAAGAAGCUAGAUUGUGGUUCCUAACAGUGUAGUGCUAAAAGGAUAUGAAUUUUUGUAGAACUACAGAUGGCAAAGAAAACCUAUUAGGUCACUUUGCCAAUUCAACAGAUUUUUCUUUCCAUAGUAAAAGGCAUAUAUGGGUGCAUGGAAUACAACUUUGAGUUAAGGAACUAGAAGGAGAGGGUAGUGUCUGUAGUUAAGGCACAGAACUGGGAGGCAGUAGGGCAUGAGUUAUUUUUUUGGCUGUGGUGCAGAUAUCCUGUAGUCAGGCUAUGCUUUUCAAACCUGGGUGGCUCCCUAAAUUAGGCGUGUUUGUAGGUACCUAAAAUUGUGGUCUGCUUUUUCAGACACAUAGAGAACCCUGACAUCAGUGGGAGCUGGGAGGGUUCAACAACUCUGAAAAUCACAACAAUUUUUAGGUGUCUAAAUAUGGAUUUAAGUGUUUAAAUUAAAAAAAUAUUAAAAAAAGAAGUCUUGAUAAUGGAAUUAUCCCCACCGUUCAUCUCCGAAGACUCUUGGCCAGCUGAUGGUCUGGCUAUGAGUGAAUUUUCAGAUCCAGUCCAGUCCAGUGUCAGGCAAUGUACACACCAUUAUGAAGAUGCCAUUAUCUGUUCUUGGUUUAAAAGUUCUGGCUACUGCAAGCCAUUCAGGUAUAAGUGACUUUCCACUUCAGGGCCUUUGUUGUCAGAAGCUUGGCCUUAUCAACUGGGAACUGCAUUCUCAGCCUCAGAAGAACAAGUUUUACAAAACACUACGCAGUUCCAGCAACGAGUGGGAAAAAUGUGAGAAAUGUAGCAUACAUGUGGAUACACAAUUCACCUUUAUUAGCAAAAUCUGUUCGGACAGUGUGAUAUUCCCUCAUGGAGCAAUCUGCAUGGAACUUGUUGGGAGAAGCACAGGUUGCAGGAAGGAUGAGUUUGGAGGAGGCACCAGGAAGUCAGUUAGUUUGCUCAUGGCUGAAAUGCUAGCUGUAAUUGAAAGAUCUCUGUAAAUAGUUCUGUUAAUAGCCAGUUUAGUUUUAGAAACAGAGUGUCCUCUCAUGUUAUUACCCAGCACUUGGUUCAUGGAACACUUCCCACUUCCAUUAUUUAUGCAUUUAUUUCUUCUGCACUGAUCAACAAUCUUUAACCAAACAUUACAAAAAGUCAUCUCCAGGACCCAGUGCAACUCUCAGCCCUUCGUCUGAAAACAACUGGUAGCAGAGAUGAGCUUUGCAGCAUGCAUUGAAAAUCCAGUAACCUGGGCUCUGGUGGGCCAAAGAAGGAAUUCAGUUCCUGAGCCAAGUGGAGAGGUGGUCACUGAAACAGGCAGGGCCUUAUCAUAUAAUGUUUUAUGAGAUAAAGGUAACAGUUUAAAUUUCAUUCAGAUAUCAUCGGGUUGACAGUGCAGAUCAUAGAGCUCCAGUGUAAUGUGCUCCCUGCGGGAAACGCUGCUGGUAGGUAGACUGGGGAAGAACAUUGCUUCGGAAGAGAGCCACCUCCUUCUGCACUAGCUGAAGGUUCCAAAUGAUCUUGAGUUAUGGCAGCCAUGUAGCAACCCACUAUAAUAAUCCAAUCUGGAGGUGACAAAAGCAUGGGUGACCCACUAGGCAUCUCUAGGAUACAGGGAUGCCUGGCCGUACCCACUUUUUCCAGGCCAAGCUCACUGCACCACUAGCUGGAAGGGAACAGGUGUAGGAGCUAUUCUGUUGGCUCUAUGCCCCUGAAGGAUUCCCCUUCACAAAAGGAAUCUUCAUGCGGGCUUUGUAGCACUGGAGGAUCUGGUUCAAUGGGUGCGUGCUGAUCUUUUGUCAUAAAUACAUCAUUUUUUUGAGCCUGGUAUUGUAAUUCGUACAUGCACAGAACUCGCACUGAAAUCCGUAGGAGUUCCCUUUGUGCAGAUCGUGCAUGAUUGGGCCCCUGUAUUUCAGAAAACUUUCUGAAUGCAGACUGAAUUUCUUCCUCCUCUAUUCAUUGUUGUAUUACCUCACUUUAACAGGAACGACAAUCAGCUUGAUAAAUGGAUUAAAAGGUCACUGUUUUCCCUGUUGCUCCUAGACUUUCACACUGGAGCACACUUGUAAAAAGAUAACAUUUAUACAAAAAGCAAUUUCUUGGCUGGUUGUUUCCUGUAUUCCCCUCAGUAUCACUGAAGAUAUUUAUGCCUCCAAAUCAAUCCAGUUUCUCUUGCUUGAUUCUGCACUGCAGUCACAGAGUUUAUAUCAGUCUGUUGCUGUGAAAAUUAAUGUGACAACACAAAAUGCAGCAUUGUGACUAAAGGUGUGUGACAUACUCCUAGAGAAAUGAAAAAUGACUUGAAAUUCAUGGCACUAUUCCCCACCACACACACACCUCCAUCCCAUUCCAAAUCUGAUGGGACAAUUUUCAAAAGGGUCUAUAUUUUCCUGGCAAAAAAUGGGCACUAUUUUUACUGGAAAUUGGCAAUUUCUUGAGCAGAUCCAGUCUCAUUUGCAAAUGAAAGUAACUGUACUUUCCACAUUGGAAACACAUGGAAAUUCAUGUUUUGAGAACUCUUGCAGAACAAAAAUAGGCUCUGUCUCUGUUUUUGCACUAGUGUGGAUACACCAGUGUAGAUGUGAUGCACUGGUGCAUGAUGGGAACUCUAUUAGUGUGACUUAUCCUGGUGAUUACUGGGGUAAAUUAGACAUUUGCCAUGGUGUAACAGUUUUGAUGUUGCUACAUUACAUGUUGCCCUAGUCUCAGCAAGUCCAUAGCCAUGUUGUCAAAAUUACAAAUAAAGAUCAAACGUUUGGGACAAAAUGGUGCAAACAUUACAAAAUUUCACACAAGGUCCCAUGAAAUUGGUGAUAGCACACAGCACUAACUGUGACUCCAGUGAAGGUUUCACCAGGAGACAAUGGACUGAGAGGCAAAAAAUCCUUUAUUUAAAUACAGAUGUUGCAAGAAAAACAGGAAAAAAUUAUAGCCAGAGUGAAAGCUAAGUGAUCUGGGGCCAGAUUUCCAGAGAGGUGACUUGUCUUUUAGGGAUGCCAUUUGCCCUUGCUGGACUUAUCCCUGUAUUCUUGGACCUGCCAUUGAAUUGUGGAUGCAAAUCUAGUUGCAUUUCUGCUGGCAGAAAUCUGAUUGAAGGUGCAAGUCAGUGGUGUAAGUACUCACACUUGCUUGCAGAAUUCCAUAUGCGGAUGACAGUUUUGCAGGUGCAUCUUCCAUCUGCAGAGGGAGGGCAGGCCUCACCCAUUUUGGAAAUUUACUCCCUUUCAGCGUAUGUCUGACAGGUUUCACAUUUCCCCCCAGUUCUUGAAAUGGAUGGGGCAGAUUCUUGAGCCUCUUACUGCCUUGAGUAAUUCCAUUGACUCCAAUGGGCUAUUUGCAAAAGGAAUGGUUGCAAGACCAGAGGUACAAAUUUCAAAAGCAGCUACAAUUCCAUUGGUAUAAGGGAUUGAAGCACUUAGGCGCCUAAGUCCCAGGCCAGGUCUACUCUAGGUAUACUUUGCCGGUAUAGCCAUUCUGGUAUACUAGCACUCCUAGUGUGGACAAAGCUUAUACCAGCAAAACUGCAUGUUUGCCAGUACAGGUUAUUUCAUUCCCCAUGAGCUAACUGAGUUAUGCAGAAAAAGUCCAGUUUUGAUGGUAUAGCUACACCUAUCCCAGUGGCUUUUGCCAGCACAGCUGUGUCCAUCGGGAAUCUCACCUCUUCACACCCUUGACCAACAUGGCUAUAGACAGCAGAAGUCUGUAGUGGCCCCACUGACACUUCAGAUUGCUUUUUCACGGCAAAUUCUCUCAUGGUCCUUCUGUGGGUUUGUGCCACGACAUAUCUUUUUACUCAAACAUUUUAACUCGAUUUACACCUAUCCCUGCCACUAAUUGACUUGAUUUUCGGAGUGAUGGCUUUAACACACCAUUUGUUUUGUAUCAUGGUACUACUCCUUUUAGAAGUCAGUGCUUUCUACAGCAGAGGUAGCAUUAUGGAAAAGAAAGAACCAACUUUCCAGAUUCCAAAUCCUCACAGGCAUUGUAUUCCUUAAGAUAGGCAGCUAGAAUAUAUUUUCUCAUUACUGACAAAAAGAUAGAGGUGUUCUUUUGUGAGCACAAGGCAUCAUAUAAUUUGUAGCAGGCAUGAAUUAUUGCAGUGUCUCCAUCCAAACAAGUGAACAUCUGUAUCCCAUUUUCACUGGCACCACAAGAUACCUGGCGUAGCCCCAGAACUGUAUGUUUAGCUACAAGGGUUUAAAAUAUGCAGUAAUUUGCUGUUGUGUUAUCUUCUGGUAUUCUCUGCUUUGGAAAAAAUACUUUAUUAAUGGAGUCCUCCCACUGUCUAUUGGCUUUGCUCUAGCCCAGA